This 465-nucleotide ribosomal RNA is filed under the name Vreelandella stevensii. RNAcentral describes it as "partial 16S ribosomal RNA". It matches the Rfam family "Bacterial small subunit ribosomal RNA", at positions 338 to 795 of the family's 1533-position model. Lineage: Bacteria; Pseudomonadati; Pseudomonadota; Gammaproteobacteria; Oceanospirillales; Halomonadaceae. The record is from RNAcentral.
CCUACGGGUGGCUGCAGUGGGGAAUAUUGGACAAUGGGGGCAACCCUGAUCCAGCCAUGCCGCGUGUGUGAAGAAGGCCCUCGGGUUGUAAAGCACUUUCAGUGAGGAAGAACGCCUGGUGGUUAAUACCCAUCAGGAAAGACAUCACUCACAGAAGAAGCACCGGCUAACUCCGUGCCAGCAGCCGCGGUAAUACGGAGGGUGCGAGCGUUAAUCGGAAUUACUGGGCGUAAAGCGCGCGUAGGUGGCUUGAUAAGCCGUUUGUUAAAGCCCCGGGCUCAACCUGGGAACGGCAUCCGGAACUGUCAAGCUAGAGUGCAGGAGAGGAAGGUAGAAUUCCCGGUGUAGCGGUGAAAUGCGUAGAGAUCGGGAGGAAUACCAGUGGCGAAGGCGGCCUUCUGGACUGACACUGACACUGAGGUGCGAAAGCGUGGGUAGCAAACAGGAUUAGAUACCCGAGUAGUC